Cinara cedri is the source of this 330-nucleotide non-coding RNA. NCBI's taxonomy places the organism in Eukaryota, Metazoa, Arthropoda, Insecta, Hemiptera, Aphididae. The record is from the annotation of a GenBank genome assembly.
AGACAACAACGAUUGUCUAAAAAAAAUGAAAAGCCUAAAGAACCAGAUUUCCUCAUAAAGUCGAUUAUUAAUUAGAAUUUUAAAAUUUUACCUGUAUCAAAUGCCAAUUAGAGUCGAAAUGCAACAACAAAAGUCUCUUGUCAUGUUUUGAUUAGAACAAGAUUUACACGAGAAAAGUUGUUUACAAACCGAAAAAAAUAAAUAAAAGUACACAUCGUGGUAAAACCAAUAGAUUCCUUGUUUCACUGAGAACUUAAAAUGAAAUUCACAUUGCCUGCGCGUAACGAUCGAUAUUAUCGUACGAGUUUGCACCAUACAGUGUUUGUUUAA